RNAcentral lists this non-coding RNA (102 nucleotides) under Gulosibacter sp. 10. Its description in RNAcentral is "TPP riboswitch aptamer (THI element)". It matches the Rfam family "TPP riboswitch aptamer (THI element)". Rfam says of the family: Vitamin B(1) in its active form thiamin pyrophosphate (TPP) is an essential coenzyme that is synthesised by coupling of pyrimidine and thiazole moieties in bacteria. The record is from Rfam by way of RNAcentral. Lineage: Bacteria; Bacillati; Actinomycetota; Actinomycetes; Micrococcales; Microbacteriaceae. RNAcentral also lists the same sequence under 1 other name.
GUCCGACGACAGGGGAGCGCCUCCGGGCGCUGAGAGUGCGAAUGCGCAGACCCUCGAACCUGCCCGGUUAGCACCGGCGAAGGAAGUCGGGAUCUCUCCUCG